RNAcentral lists this long non-coding RNA (573 nucleotides) under Homo sapiens (human). RNAcentral describes it as "HSALNT0293010". The record is from RNAcentral. Lineage: Eukaryota; Metazoa; Chordata; Mammalia; Primates; Hominidae.
ACAACUGGCUACAAAUAUCAACAGGCUUUAACAGUCUUCUUUCCUUCAAGUCCAGUUCUUUGAAAGUCCAAAUUUGCUCUGAACUGACUUCAAGCAAGUGCCCACUCUUGAACAAAUUACUGAGGCUGGAGGAUAAAGACACAAAUUGGCCAAACUUGGAUUACCUGCCUUCUGCAUCUUAAAGGAGUCAGUCCCAACUACAAAUUUAAGAGGAUCACAGAAACACCCACAAACUUACGAGGAUCACAGAAAACACCCCUACACCAACUUAUAGCCAAUCUAUUCAACCUGCAUUGUUAGCAGGAGGAGAUUUUUCAGCUUUUGAAGUCUGCAUACCUUCAAGGAAAUUCUUCAAAAACAGCCAAGACAUUUUAAGAUGAGGAGCUACAGAACAGCUGAAAUGUGGAUGUGAUAGAAGAAGAUGAACUAUUUCUGAAUUCAAGAUGGACUCUGAAUUGAGAAGAUAGAUGCCUUGGACCUUAACACUAUUGAGCUAUCAACUAAACUGCAGACCACUUACCUUCAUAUUUAUGAAGUCUUGCUCUGUCGCCCAGGCUGGAGUGCAGUGGCACA